This is a long non-coding RNA of Leopardus geoffroyi (Geoffroy's cat), 413 nucleotides long. RefSeq lists it as uncharacterized. Lineage: Eukaryota; Metazoa; Chordata; Mammalia; Carnivora; Felidae. The record is from RefSeq and is a predicted model, not a curated record. The transcript has 2 exons.
GUAACUUUAGUCUGCCUCAUUGCUGUGAUUCGUCUCUGCUCAGUACAAGCCCCCUGCAGGGAUAAAAAGCAUUCUUUCAGCUGCUGGAAGGAAACUGCAGACAGCCUUCAGAUGUCGUCCAGCUUUGAGAACCGUUUCAUCAGAAAAGGCAAACCUCACCUGAGAGCACACCCCACUGCCUGCAUCAAUGACUGGUUCUAAUGUUGAAAUGAACACCGAGUCCCAUUUCCCCAAAACAGGACGACUUCGAAGUGUCAUAUGAAUUUAGGAAUUCCUUGUAGAUCUGCUGCUAAAUACUUCUUCGAGAAAACGUCACAGAAAACUCUUUUCUCUGCUUGAUCCUGCUUCCUCCUCUUUUCUUCCAUAGAUGUUAAUUUUUAAAAUUUCCCCAAUAAAUCCUCUGUGUGUUUUUA